RNAcentral lists this ribosomal RNA (253 nucleotides) under uncultured bacterium. RNAcentral's name for it is "partial 16S ribosomal RNA". It matches the Rfam family "Bacterial small subunit ribosomal RNA", at positions 524 to 776 of the family's 1533-position model. The record is from RNAcentral.
GACGAACCACACACACGUUAUUCGGAAUUACUGGGCUUAAAGGGUGCGUAGGCGGCGCAGAAAGUAGGGUGUGAAAUCCCUCGGCUCAACCGAGGAACUGCGCCCUAAACUACUGUGCUCGAGGGAGGUAGAGGUGAGCGGAACUUAGGGUGGAGCGGUGAAAUGCGUUGAUAUCCUAAGGAACACCGGUGGCGAAAGCGGCUCACUGGACCUCUUCUGACGCUGAGGCACGAAAGCUAGGGUAGCGAACGGG